Small nucleolar RNA from Chroicocephalus ridibundus (black-headed gull), 182 nucleotides. RefSeq annotates it as small nucleolar RNA SNORA81. NCBI's taxonomy places the organism in Eukaryota, Metazoa, Chordata, Aves, Charadriiformes, Laridae. The transcript has a single exon. The record is from RefSeq and is a predicted model, not a curated record.
ACCUUCUUGUUAAAAGCACUGUGCUAAAAUUGCAGAAACCAAGGCUGAGCUUUGGGCUCUGUAAUAAUGCUAGCAGAGUACACGCAAGAAGAAGAAAAUGCAUGCACUGGAUCAAAACUGACUAGGGUGGACCUCUUUCUUAAUGUCCAGUGUCCUGUGUCUUAAGAUUUGGUGCAACAGAU